This is a long non-coding RNA of Leptinotarsa decemlineata (Colorado potato beetle), 236 nucleotides long. NCBI's taxonomy places the organism in Eukaryota, Metazoa, Arthropoda, Insecta, Coleoptera, Chrysomelidae. The record is from RefSeq and is a predicted model, not a curated record.
UCACCUGGAGAACAGAUACGACCCAAUUCUUGGCUACAACUACACGUAUUGGCCAGAUUCUAAAUAUUUCAGGAACUAUAGAUUCUCACCACCCAUCAGUUGGUAUGACAACUGGUCCACCAGAUCGCGAGUUUGGUUUCCUUAUUAUUGGUCCACUAGGAGGUUAUUCCAACACUAUUCAGAAUACAGACCUUCUAGCAGAGCACUCAGAGAACAACGGUUGAGAAACAAUAAGA